UGUCAUCCAUGUAAGAUGUGACUUGCUCCUCUUUGCCUUCCACCAUGAUUGUGAGGCCUCCCCAACCAUGUGGAACUGUAAGUCCACUAAACAUCUUUUGUAAAUUGCCCAGUCUCAGGUAUGUCUUUAUCAGCAGCAUGAAAACUGACUAAUACAAUACUCCUGUUGGUGGUUCCUGAUCUGAGAGAAAACACAUUGAUGUGGUCCUGCAGAGGCAAGACAGUUAGAGCUUGUGCUCAAUGUCCCUGAACCCCUAAUUGUGAGCCAGCCUUUGACUGGGAAGCAUAUGUUUACUUUAAUAUCAUGGUUCCAUUGCACCCUUUUCCUGCAAUAAUCUGCGGAUGAACAGCAUUAUUAUUUUAGAUCCUGUGAAUCUUCUUUGGCAAUCAGCCCUGUUUGACUACCACUGUCAGUGGGUGGAUGGUAAUCUUACUAGAUUUAUGAGCUCCCUGAAGUACUCUUGAGAGCAGUGUGAAGGGGUGGUAGGCUGAAUAAUGGUUCCCAAGAAAAACCAGGUCCUAAACCCUGGAACUUGAGCAUGUUACCAUGUAUGGCAAAACAGACUUUGCAGAUGUAAUUAAAUUAAGGAUUUUGAAAUGGAGAGAUUAUCCUGGAUUAGCCAGGUAGGCCCAAUGUAAUCACAAUAGUCCUUUGAAGAGAGAGGCAGAGGGAGAUUUUACUACAGAAGAAGACAAUGUGACUCUGGAAGCAGAGGGAGGAAAGACAACUGAUGCAAGAAAGGGGUCACGAGCCAAGGAAUGCAGGCAUAUCCAGACGCUUGAAAAACCAGAGCACAAAUUCUCCCCUAGAGCUUCCAAAGGAACUUGCCUGGUGACACCUUUCAGACUCAUUUCAAGCUGGGCCUCUAACUGUAAGAAAGUAAAUUUCUGUUGUUUAAUGCAAGUAAGUUUGUGGUAAUUUGUUACAGCAGCCACAGGAAACAUGAAGCUAACAUAUAGCAUUUAGCAGACUUCUUUUUAGACUUCAGAUGAUGGUAUUACCGUGGAAGGAGGGUGUCCUCAGAAAGACUUGGAGCUCUGAAGACCACCAGUAAAGCCUUCUGUGCAUGCUGUCACAGAUGCACUAUUGACCUAAUAGAAAAUGUGUCAAAGGACUAGAACAAGCAACUCAAGAAGACAUUUUAAUCACCAAUAAGCAAAGGAAGAAAUGUUUUCCCUGGUGAUAAUCACUAUUAUCAAAGUGUGAUUACAUUUCCAAUUAACUGAAAAAAUUUAGCAUCAGUUACGGCAAGCGUUGGCAUGGAGGAGAGGAAAGAAGAACGUUUAUGUUUUGUCAGUGGGAAUGCAGGUCUGGCAUCCUGGCAGAAUGCGAUUGACCAAUUCUGUCCCCUGUACCACCAACUGGACUCCCUGGGCAGCAUUCAGCUGGCGGCUGGCCUCUUUGCUGAGUCCAAGAUGGCUUCAUUCUCUAGCCUGGGGCCAUGGUGGGCUGGCUGAUGGUCUGAGCUCAGCUGGGAUCCUCCUAUGCUACAGGAAGUCUCAAAAGCUCUCCUCUGUCUCUCUAGCAGUUACGUGGGCUUCUUACCUGAUGGUUUAGGGCUUCAGGAGAGCUACAGGGAGCAAAAACCAUCACUUAAGCCUGUGCCUGGAAACUCACAUGGCCAGGCCUGCAGUAUUCUAAUGGUCAAAACCAUCACUGAUGAUGUCCAGAUUUAAUAGGUAGGGAAAGAGACCCAUUUCUUAAUGUGAAAAGCAUCAAAGAAUUUUCAGCUUUCUUUAAUCUGCCACAAAUGCUAACAAACUUGUGUUCCUUUUCCUCUGCUCACAUGAGAUCAAAGGCAGAUAGUCAGAGAGGAAAAGAUACUGUCACAGGCAAAGCUGUUCAAUAUUUUGAUCAUUAGUCCUACCAGGCAAGUCAACUGCACAGAAAAAAGACAUGACUGGAAUGAUCAUGGGAGAAGCAAGAAAACUACCAGAAGGUGACACAGCAUUUCCAAAGGGACAGCCACCUGAAGCUGGCAUGUGUAGGGUCAGCUAGCCAGAAGAAGGCUGGGCAGCCCUUGAGGGCACAACAGCCACAGUAGAGAGUGAUAAGAAAUGCUCAGCCACGUAUCCAUUUAUUCAACUUAACAUUUACUGAACAUCUACUGUAAACAAAGCACUGAGCUGGUCAUUAUAGACAUAAAGAUCCUUGUCUUCCAAGGGCCUAGAGGCUCCUGGGGAGGAAAGAUGUGGCAAUUGUUAAAUACAGAGUAAGAUGAUAAUGCUAAGAAUUACAUUCUCGGUGAAGACCUUGAGUUAGCAAAAUUACAUUGUACUAACCCAAAUUACUUGAAAAGUGCAAAUAAAUAAAUAAAAAUACAAGUCUUAUAUCUAGUUACCUUUGCAAUGACUCC
RNAcentral lists this long non-coding RNA (2356 nucleotides) under Homo sapiens (human). Its description in RNAcentral is "HSALNT0028024". Lineage: Eukaryota; Metazoa; Chordata; Mammalia; Primates; Hominidae. The record is from RNAcentral.